RNAcentral lists this unclassified non-coding RNA (332 nucleotides) under soil metagenome. RNAcentral describes it as "partial contains 5.8S ribosomal RNA, internal transcribed spacer 2, and large subunit ribosomal RNA". The stretch from base 1 to 120 matches the Rfam family "5.8S ribosomal RNA", at positions 35 to 154 of the family's 154-position model. The record is from RNAcentral.
GAUGAAGAACGCAGCGAAAUGCGAUAAGUAGUGUGAAUUGCAGAAUUCAGUGAAUCAUCGAAUCUUUGAACGCACGUUGCGCCCUUUGGUAUUCCUUAGGGCAUGCCUGUUCGAGCGUCAUUUAAACCUUCAAGCUCAGCUUGGUGUUGGGUGACUGUCCGCUUCACCGCGGACUCGCCUCAAAAGUAUUGGCGGCCGGUACAUUGGCUUCGAGCGCAGCAGAAACGCGAACUCGGGCCCGUCGUAUUGGCUCCCAGAAGCUAUCUUCACAAUUUUGACCUCGGAUCAGGUAGGGAUACCCGCUGAACUUAAGCAUAUCAAUAAGCGGAGGA